UUGAACGCUGGCGACAUGCCUUACACAUGCAAGUCGAACGGCAGCACGGGUGCUUGCACCUGGUGGCGAGUGGCGAACGGGUGAGUAAUACAUCGGAACAUGUCCUGUAGUGGGGGAUAGCCCGGCGAAAGCCGGAUUAAUACCGCAUACGAUCUACGGAUGAAAGCGGGGGACCUUCGGGCCUCGCGCUAUAGGGUUGGCCGAUGGCUGAUUAGCUAGUUGGUGGGGUAAAGGCCUACCAAGGCGACGAUCAGUAGCUGGUCUGAGAGGACGACCAGUCACACUGGGACUGAGACACGGCCCAGACUCCUACGGGAGGCAGCAGUGGGGAAUUUUGGACAAUGGGCGAAAGCCUGAUCCAGCAAUGCCGCGUGUGUGAAGAAGGCCUUCGGGUUGUAAAGCACUUUUGUCCGGAAAGAAAUCCUUGGCCCUAAUACGGUCGGGGGAUGACGGUACCGGAAGAAUAAGCACCGGCUAACUACGUG
RNAcentral lists this ribosomal RNA (485 nucleotides) under uncultured bacterium. Its description in RNAcentral is "partial 16S ribosomal RNA". It matches the Rfam family "Bacterial small subunit ribosomal RNA", at positions 30 to 507 of the family's 1533-position model. The record is from RNAcentral.